RNAcentral lists this ribosomal RNA (447 nucleotides) under uncultured bacterium. Its description in RNAcentral is "partial 16S ribosomal RNA". It matches the Rfam family "Bacterial small subunit ribosomal RNA", at positions 29 to 523 of the family's 1533-position model. The record is from RNAcentral.
AGCGAACGCUGGCGGCAGGCUUAACACAUGCAAGUCGAACGCCCCGCAAGGGCAGUGGCAGACGGGUGAGUAACACGUGGGAACGUACCCUUUGGUUCGGAAUAACUUGGGGAAACUCAAGCUAAUACCGGAUAAGCCCUUAUGGGGAAAGGUUUACUGCCGAAGGAUCGGCCCGCGUCUGAUUAGCGAGUUGGUGAGGUAAUGGCGCACCAAGGCGACGAUCAGUAACUGGUCUGAGAGGAUGAUCAGCCACACUGGGACUGAGACACGGCCCAGACUCCUACGGGAGGCAGCAGUGGGGAAUAUUGGACAAGGGGGGCAGCCCUGAUCCAGCCAUGCCGCGUGAGUGAUGAAGGCCUUAGGGUUGUAAAGCUCUUUUACCCGGGACGAUAAUGACUGUACCGGGAGAAUAAGCCCCGGCUAACUUCGUGCCAGCCGCCGCAGUAA